This 232-nucleotide ribosomal RNA is filed under the name uncultured Allobrachymonas sp. Its description in RNAcentral is "uncultured Brachymonas sp. partial 16S ribosomal RNA". It matches the Rfam family "Bacterial small subunit ribosomal RNA", at positions 1150 to 1382 of the family's 1533-position model. The record is from RNAcentral. Lineage: Bacteria; Pseudomonadati; Pseudomonadota; Betaproteobacteria; Burkholderiales; Comamonadaceae.
UGCCGGUGACAAACCGGAGGAAGUGGGGAUGACGUCAAGUCCUCAUGGCCCUUAUAGGUGGGGCUACACACGUCAUACAAUGGCCGGUACAGAGGGUAGCCAACCCGCGAGGGGGAGCCAAUCCCACAAAGCCGGUCGUAGUCCGGAUCGCAGUCUGCAACUCGACUGCGUGAAGUCGGAAUCGCUAAUAAUCGCGGAUCAGCAUGUCGCGGUGAAUACGUUCCCGGGCCUU